ACUUAAAUAGCUUAUUUGAUUUAGAGCGCGACACUGAAGAUGUUGAUGAGGUAUUAUUACCUUUGAGUG
RNAcentral lists this transfer RNA (69 nucleotides) under Macrotermes malaccensis. Its description in RNAcentral is "tRNA-Phe". The record is from RNAcentral. Lineage: Eukaryota; Metazoa; Arthropoda; Insecta; Blattodea; Termitidae.